RNAcentral lists this ribosomal RNA (516 nucleotides) under uncultured bacterium. Its description in RNAcentral is "bacterial SSU rRNA". It matches the Rfam family "Bacterial small subunit ribosomal RNA", at positions 8 to 518 of the family's 1533-position model. The record is from RNAcentral.
AGAGUUGAUCAUGGCUCAGGAUGAACGCUAGCGACAGGCUUAACACAUGCAAGUCGAGGGGCAGCAUAAAAGUAGCAAUACUUGGUGGCGACCGGCGCACGGGUGAGUAACGCGUAUGCAACCUACCUAUCAGAGGGGAAUAACCCGGCGAAAGUCGGACUAAUACCGCAUAAAGCAGAGGCACCGCAUGGUGAUAUUUGUUAAAGAAAUUCGCUGAUAGAUGGGCAUGCGUUCCAUUAGGUAGUUGGUGAGGUAACGGCUCACCAAGCCGACGAUGGAUAGGGGAACUGAGAGGUUGGUCCCCCACACUGGUACUGAGACACGGACCAGACUCCUACGGGAGGCAGCAGUGAGGAAUAUUGGUCAAUGGGCGGGAGCCUGAACCAGCCAAGUCGCGUGAAGGAAGAAGGAUCUAUGGUUCGUAAACUUCUUUUGCAGGGGAAUAAAGUGCAGGGCGUGUCCUGUUUUGUAUGUACCCUGAGAAUAAGGAUCGGCUAACUCCGUGCCAGCAGCUGC